RNAcentral lists this ribosomal RNA (483 nucleotides) under uncultured bacterium. Its description in RNAcentral is "partial 16S ribosomal RNA". It matches the Rfam family "Bacterial small subunit ribosomal RNA", at positions 28 to 523 of the family's 1533-position model. The record is from RNAcentral.
GAUGAAUGCUGGCGGCGUGCUUAACACAUGCAAGUCGAACGAUGAAGCUGGAGCUUGCUCCGGUGGAUUAGUGGCGAACGGGUGAGUAACACGUGAGCAAUCUGCCCUUGACUCUGGGAUAACUGCGGGAAACUGUAGCUAAUACCGGAUACGAGACCUGAAGGCAUCUUCGGGUCUGGAAAGAAUUUCGGUCAAGGAUGAGCUCGCGGCCUAUCAGCUUGUCGGUGAGGUAAUGGCUCACCAAGGCGACGACGGGUAGCCGGCCUGAGAGGGGAACCGGCCACACUGGGACUGAGACACGGCCCAGACUCCUACGGGAGGCAGCAGUGGGGAAUAUUGCACAAUGGGCGAAAGCCUGAUGCAGCAACGCCGCGUGAGGGAUGAAGGCCUUCGGGUUGUAAACCUCUUUUAGCAGGGAAGAAGCGAAAGUGACGGUACCUGCAGAAAAAGCACCGGCUAACUACGUGCCAGCAGCCGCCGUAA